RNAcentral lists this ribosomal RNA (245 nucleotides) under uncultured bacterium. RNAcentral's name for it is "partial 16S ribosomal RNA". It matches the Rfam family "Bacterial small subunit ribosomal RNA", at positions 524 to 768 of the family's 1533-position model. The record is from RNAcentral.
UACGUAGGCAGCGAGCGUUGUUCGGAAUUACUGGGCGUAAAGAGUGUGUAGGCGGUGUUCCCAGUCUGUUGUGAAAUCUCCCGGCUUAACUGGGAGGGUGCAGCGGAAACUAGAAUGCUAGAGGGUGGGAGAGGUAAGCGGAAUUCCUGGUGUAGCGGUGAAAUGCGUAGAUAUCAGGAGGAACACCUGUGGUGUAGACAGCUUACUGGACCACUUCUGACGCUGAGACACGAAAGCGUGGGUAG